Molecule: ribosomal RNA, 576 nt
Filed under: uncultured fungus
Lineage: Eukaryota; Fungi
Description: eukaryotic LSU rRNA
Rfam family: 5.8S ribosomal RNA (bases 236-388)
Source: RNAcentral
AANUCGUAACAAGGUCUCCGUUGGUGAACCAGCGGAGGGAUCAUUACAGAGUUGCAAAACUCCCACAAACCAUCGCGAAUCUUACCCGUACGGUUGCCUCGGCGCUGGCGGUCCGGAAGGCCCUCGGGCCCCCCGGAUCCUCGGGUCUCCCGCUCGCGGGAGGCUGCCCGCCGGAGUGCCGAAACCAAACUCUUGAUAUUUUAUGUCUCUCUGAGUAAACUUUUAAAUAAGUCAAAACUUUCAACAACGGAUCUCUUGGUUCUGGCAUCGAUGAAGAACGCAGCGAAAUGCGAUAAGUAAUGUGAAUUGCAGAAUUCAGUGAAUCAUCGAAUCUUUGAACGCACAUUGCGCCCCUUGGUAUCCGGGGGGCAUGCCUGUUCGAGCGUCAUAUAAACCCUCAAGCUUAGCUUGGUGUUGGGGCCUGCUGUUAACAGCAGCCCUUAAAAGCAGUGGCGGUGCCGUCUGGCUCUAAGCGUAGUAAUUCUUCUCGCUCCAAGGUCCUGGUGGAUGCUUGCCAACAACCCCUAAUUUUCUAUGGUUGACCUCGGAUCAGGUAGGGAUACCCGCUGAACUUAA